GUCGUUCCCUCCCUUCCCUCCUUGGAUCCCUUCUUGAGGCUUCGGGCUUAUUCCUACUAGUCUCGUAGGAGCCCCCAAGUCAUUGUACCAAAUUCUCAUAGGGGAGCCUUCAGAUCUAGUGGCUUCCAUAGUUAUUGGAGGAGGAUCCAAAAGUCAUUCCUCAAUUAUGUUGGUUCUCGAAAAGUGAGGGAGGUCCCUGAUCCUAGUAUUUCCUCCAUUCCUUCACUCAACAAAUGCCUUGCCCUCCCUACUCCUAGCACUGUGUCUACUGCUAUAAGUAGUAGUGUUGGUUUUAUGAAAUGGAAUCAGUCCAAGGAUGGUUGGAUGUCCUAUGCCAAUGAUUUCCUAUCUUCUUGGCCUGGCAGCGAGUUAGUUAUUGGUUCCUCCUUAGGUGUCCCCCCUAGAAAAUGAGUAGUUGAGGAGAUUUGAUCUGCAACUCCUCUUGGCAAGGGGAAAGAAAAGAAAGGCAAGAAGGGUGCCAAGGGGAAACCAGAGACUGAAAAAGGCACUGAGGAUCUUGAGGUUGGCCAAGACACCAAGAAAAGGAAGACUUCUACAGCUUCCAAGCGGCUUCCUACCCUUAAGGAGUUUGAAGAGUCUAAACGUAAAGUUGAUCCUAAAAGGGUGAAGAGUCCUUCCUCGGGUGAUGAAGUUGUAGAGGUUUCUCCUCCUCUUAUGGGUGAUACAAUGCCAGGGGAGGCAGCAAUGGACCAACACCCAAUUGAUCCUAACAUGAGUUGGCAAGUUGCAGGUGAAGAGGUAGUUGAGGAACCUAGGGAAAUUCCUGAUCCCAAUGCGGCCAAGGAUCUUAAGUCUGAGCAGGUUCCUGAUCUUUCAACAACUCGGGAUCCUGAAGGUGUAUAGGUCCUUGAUCCUUCAACAUCCCUAGAUCCUGAAGGUGCACAAGUUUCUAAUCUCACAAUAGCAAAGGAUUCGGAGCCUGAGUAGACCCCCACGGUUCCUGAGCCUGAACAAGUUUUUGACCCUAUGGUGACCAAGGAGUCUGCUGAAGCUACAACUCCUCCCGUGAUAACUAGCCAAGUCAGGCCCCAAGUCAUUCCUGAGAGCGAGAUUAUUGACCUAACUUUAGAAGUAGAAAUCCAACAAGAUCCUGCUAAGGAGUCAAGGGAACAAGCAAGUGGACUUCCUGAGGUGAUAGGGGCAACCCUUCAAUUCAAGAGGAGGCUUCUUUGAAUGCACCAAAUGAAGCAAGUACUUGACUUUUCUCUUUCUCCCUCUUCUCCUUGCUUCAUAUACUUCCUUCUACUGAUGGUUCAUCAUUAUUAUUUUUUUUUCAGAUACUGAGAUGGGAACUAAGGAGCCUGAGUCUAUGACUGUUGAAGAAAUUGGGGGUCUCCAUCAUUUGUACAAGUUGCUGAGGUCUAGGCCGAGAUCCUUCAAGUAUUCCUAGAGCUGCAAGCCUUUCACUUCCUGAGGAGAGAGAUAUAGUAAUGAGAGAUCCUUUAUAUGCUGCCAUUGUGGAUCCUAGUGCUGGCUUCCUACCUUCUUAUCCUGCUUUGAUUUGUUGGAGUUUAACAGCCUUCCUGUGGUCCAUUUUCGUCGCUUUGGAGCAUUUUAUUCUAGUUUUCUUCACUUUUCUAUGCCUACUGAAGGUCUCCCACUCUUGGAGGAAUUAGUUAAGGUUCAUGGGGACUUCACUGCCAGGUUUAGAGGAGGUGUACUCUUGGGGAAUAUCUUGCUGGAGCUCCUUUGUGCUGUACUGAUUUCCCUAAAGAGCACUUCGCUUGAUUCUUUGUUUGAGGAAAAGCUUCUGGAAUGGAGAGGGAUAGUGUAGGAUCUUGUGGAAGCAAAUUUCAAUUUGUCUUUCUUGUUGGGAUAUCUUCAAUCAGUGGCACAGGCGUUCUUCCAGAGGAGGGCCACUAAGGAUCUUGAUGCUGAUAUUGGUGUUGCCAGGGAAGCCUUGGCUUGUUUGGAAGCUUGGAGGAAGCAAGCUUUCUUAGCCAUAACCACCUUAUCUUCUCCUCUGGUUCCUCCAGAAGGUUCCUUGUUCGUUGGCCUCCUGCUUUAGCCAUUUUAGGCCAAUUUGGCCUUGUAAUUGAACACUUCUUAUAAUUUUUUUUUUUUUUUUUUUUUUUUUUUUUUUUUUUUGUGGUUUACAUGAACUUCUGACCUUGUAUUGACUUAACCUUUUAAUUAUGCUUGGUAUUCCUUA
Long non-coding RNA from Quercus robur (English oak), 2173 nucleotides. RefSeq lists it as uncharacterized. The transcript has 5 exons. Lineage: Eukaryota; Viridiplantae; Streptophyta; Magnoliopsida; Fagales; Fagaceae. The record is from RefSeq and is a predicted model, not a curated record.